AUGAACGCUGGCGGCGUGCCUCAUACCUGCAAGUCGAGCGAACAGACGAGGAGCUUGCUCCUCUGACGUUAGCGGCGGACGGGUGAGUAACACGUGGAUAACCUACCUAUAAGACUGGGAUAACUUCGGGAAACCGGAGCUAAUACCGGAUAAUAUAUUGAACCGCAUGGUUCAAUAGUGAAAGACGGUUUUGCUGUCACUUAUAGAUGGAUCCGCGCCGCAUUAGCUAGUUGGUAAGGUAACGGCUUACCAAGGCGACGAUGCGUAGCCGACCUGAGAGGGUGAUCGGCCACACUGGAACUGAGACACGGUCCAGACUCCUACGGGAGGCAGCAGUAGGGAAUCUUCCGCAAUGGGCGAAGGCCUGACGGAGCAACGCCGCGUGAGUGAUGAAGGUCUUCGGAUCGUAAAACUCUGUUAUUAGGGAAGAACAAAUGUGUAAGUAACUAUGCACGUCUUGACGGUACCUAAUCAGAAAGCCACGGCUAACUACGUG
This 496-nucleotide ribosomal RNA is filed under the name uncultured bacterium. Its description in RNAcentral is "partial 16S ribosomal RNA". It matches the Rfam family "Bacterial small subunit ribosomal RNA", at positions 29 to 507 of the family's 1533-position model. The record is from RNAcentral.